Molecule: transfer RNA, 71 nt
Filed under: Sphaerodactylus townsendi
Lineage: Eukaryota; Metazoa; Chordata; Lepidosauria; Squamata; Sphaerodactylidae
Description: tRNA-Ala
Source: RNAcentral
GAAAAAUGACUCAGUGGUAGAGCAUUCACUUGGCAUACAGAAGGUCCCAGGUUCAAUCCCUGGCAUCUGCA